UGCUGUCAACGACAGCCACCAAUGUUUCCAGUAUCAGGACGAUACGAGUGAUCUGUGAGAAACGCCUUCGGGUGGUCACAAGCCAAAGUCAUAUGGAAUGGAGUGUGGUCUGAGACUGACGCCUUCGGGCGACCACAAAGAAAGUUGUCAUAACCUGAAAGACAACGCUGGAAGCGGUAAACCU
This 184-nucleotide small RNA is filed under the name Erwinia mallotivora. RNAcentral describes it as "STAXI RNA". It matches the Rfam family "STAXI RNA". Lineage: Bacteria; Pseudomonadati; Pseudomonadota; Gammaproteobacteria; Enterobacterales; Erwiniaceae. The record is from Rfam by way of RNAcentral.